GAUGAACGCUGGCGGCGUGCCUAAUACAUGCCAGUCGAGCGAACAGACGAGGAGCUUGCUCCUUUGACGUUAGCGGCGGACGGGUGAGUAACACGUGGAUAACCUACCUAUAAGACUGGGAUAACUUCGGGAAACCGGAGCUAAUACCGGAUAACAUGUUGAACCGCAUGGUUCAACAGUGAAAGACGGUUUUGCUGUCACUUAUAGAUGGAUCCGCGCCGCAUUAGCUAGUUGGUAAGGUAACGGCUUACCAAGGCAACGAUGCGUAGCCGACCUGAGAGGGUGAUCGGCCACACUGGAACUGAGACACGGUCCAGACUCCUACGGGAGGCAGCAGUAGGGAAUCUUCCGCAAUGGGCGAAAGCCUGACGGAGCAACGCCGCGUGAGUGAAGAAGGUCUUCGGAUCGUAAAACUCUGUUAUUAGGGAAGAACAAAUGUGUAAGUAACUAUGCACGUCUUGACGGUACCUAAUCAGAAAGCCACGGCUAACUACGUG
RNAcentral lists this ribosomal RNA (497 nucleotides) under uncultured bacterium. Its description in RNAcentral is "partial 16S ribosomal RNA". It matches the Rfam family "Bacterial small subunit ribosomal RNA", at positions 28 to 507 of the family's 1533-position model. The record is from RNAcentral.